Molecule: ribosomal RNA, 1044 nt
Filed under: Escherichia coli
Lineage: Bacteria; Pseudomonadati; Pseudomonadota; Gammaproteobacteria; Enterobacterales; Enterobacteriaceae
Description: partial 23S ribosomal RNA
Rfam family: Bacterial large subunit ribosomal RNA
Source: RNAcentral
AGACCCGAAACCCGGUGAUCUAGCCAUGGGCAGGUUGAAGGUUGGGUAACACUAACUGGAGGACCGAACCGACUAAUGUUGAAAAAUUAGCGGAUGACUUGUGGCUGGGGGUGAAAGGCCAAUCAAACCGGGAGAUAGCUGGUUCUCCCCGAAAGCUAUUUAGGUAGCGCCUCGUGAAUUCAUCUCCGGGGGUAGAGCACUGUUUCGGCAAGGGGGUCAUCCCGACUUACCAACCCGAUGCAAACUGCGAAUACCGGAGAAUGUUAUCACGGGAGACACACGGCGGGUGCUAACGUCCGUCGUGAAGAGGGAAACAACCCAGACCGCCAGCUAAGGUCCCAAAGUCAUGGUUAAGUGGGAAACGAUGUGGGAAGGCCCAGACAGCCAGGAUGUUGGCUUAGAAGCAGCCAUCAUUUAAAGAAAGCGUAAUAGCUCACUGGUCGAGUCGGCCUGCGCGGAAGAUGUAACGGGGCUAAACCAUGCACCGAAGCUGCGGCAGCGACACUGUGUGUUGUUGGGUAGGGGAGCGUUCUGUAAGCCUGUGAAGGUGUGCUGUGAGGCAUGCUGGAGGUAUCAGAAGUGCGAAUGCUGACAUAAGUAACGAUAAAGCGGGUGAAAAGCCCGCUCGCCGGAAGACCAAGGGUUCCUGUCCAACGUUAAUCGGGGCAGGGUGAGUCGACCCCUAAGGCGAGGCCGAAAGGCGUAGUCGAUGGGAAACAGGUUAAUAUUCCUGUACUUGGUGUUACUGCGAAGGGGGGACGGAGAAGGCUAUGUUGGCCGGGCGACGGUUGUCCCGGUUUAAGCGUGUAGGCUGGUUUUCCAGGCAAAUCCGGAAAAUCAAGGCUGAGGCGUGAUGACGAGGCACUACGGUGCUGAAGCAACAAAUGCCCUGCUUCCAGGAAAAGCCUCUAAGCAUCAGGUAACAUCAAAUCGUACCCCAAACCGACACAGGUGGUCAGGUAGAGAAUACCAAGGCGCUUGAGAGAACUCGGGUGAAGGAACUAGGCAAAAUGGUGCCGUAACUUCGGGAGAAGGCACGCUGAU